AGAAGUCUAGUUUAAGAAAAACAUUAGCUUGUCAAACUAAAGUUACUUGUAAUUUAAUUCUAAGGGUGACUUUUU
Molecule: transfer RNA, 75 nt
Filed under: Nesophrosyne sp. 17 GMB-2012
Lineage: Eukaryota; Metazoa; Arthropoda; Insecta; Hemiptera; Cicadellidae
Description: tRNA-Asp
Source: RNAcentral